AUACGGAGGACGCGAGCGUUAUCCGGAUUCAUUGGGUUUAAAGGGUGCGCAGGCGGCCGUGCAAGUCAGCGGUGAAAGCCCGGGGCUCAACCCCGGAAGUGCCGUUGAUACUGCAUGGCUGGAAUGCGGUCGAGGCGGGCGGGACGGGGGGUGGAGGGGGGAAAGGCGAAGAUAGGCCACAGAACGCCGAUAGCGGAGGCAGCUCGCCAGGCCUGCAUUGACGCUCGGGCACGAAAGCGUGGGGAUCGAACAGGAUUAGAUACCCUGGUAGUCCACGCCGUAAACGAUGGGCGCUCGUCGUCGGCGGCAGACAGUCGGCGGCCAAGCGAAAGAGAUAAGCGCCCCACCUGGGGAGUACGGUCGCAAGGCUGAAACUCAAAUGAAUUGACGGG
RNAcentral lists this ribosomal RNA (392 nucleotides) under uncultured bacterium. Its description in RNAcentral is "partial 16S ribosomal RNA". It matches the Rfam family "Bacterial small subunit ribosomal RNA", at positions 523 to 917 of the family's 1533-position model. The record is from RNAcentral.